Molecule: non-coding RNA, 45 nt
Filed under: Trichobilharzia regenti
Lineage: Eukaryota; Metazoa; Platyhelminthes; Trematoda; Strigeidida; Schistosomatidae
Source: RNAcentral
AUUCAGAUGACUAGUCCCAAAUAGGACGAAACGCGCAUCCUAGAU